GGAAGCCGGUGAGAACCCGGCGCUGUCUCUCAGCAACCGUGAUAUCUUCGAAAGGACUGUUGAGCGCUCAAACGGGCUAAGCUCAUAUCCACUCGGGACUGAAAAACCCGGGGAAGGAGUCCCGGUAGGUUAAAAGGAUUAAGCCGGUAGAC
RNAcentral lists this non-coding RNA (152 nucleotides) under Firmicutes bacterium CAG:145. Lineage: Bacteria; Bacillati; Bacillota. RNAcentral also lists the same sequence under 1 other name. The record is from RNAcentral.